GAUGAACGCUGACAGAAUGCUCAACACAUGCAAGUCGACUCGAGUCUUCGGACUUGGGUGGCGCACGGGUGAGUAACGCGUAAAGAACUUGCCUCUUAGACCGGGACAACAUCUGGAAACGGAUGCUAAUACCGGAUAUUAUGGUUUUUUCGCAUGGGUAUGGUGUGGAAAGUUUUUCGGUCUGGGAUGGGCUCGCGGCCUAUCAGCUUGUUGGUGAGGUAAUGGCUCACCAAGGCGACGACGGGUAGCCGGCCUGAGAGGGCGACCGGCCACACUGGGACUGAGACACGGCCCAG
This 296-nucleotide ribosomal RNA is filed under the name uncultured bacterium. RNAcentral's name for it is "partial 16S ribosomal RNA". It matches the Rfam family "Bacterial small subunit ribosomal RNA", at positions 28 to 334 of the family's 1533-position model. The record is from RNAcentral.